GAUGAACGCUGGCGGCGUGCCUAAUACAUGCAAGUCGAGCGAAGAAACGAGGAGCUUGCUCCUCGGACGGGAGGGGCGGACGGGGGGUGAACACGUGGAUAACCUACCUAUAAGACUGGGAGAACAUCCGGAAGCCGGAGCUGAUAACGGGGAAUAUAUUGAACCUGAUGGAUCAAGAGUGAAGGACGGUUUUGCUUUCGGUUGGAGAUGGAUCCGCGCCGCAUUAGCUGGUUGGUAGGGUGACGGCUUACCAAGGCGACGAUGCGUAGCCGCCCUCAGAGGGUGGUAGGCCACACUGGAACUGAGAAACGGUCCACAAUCCUACGGGAGGAAGCAGUAGGGAAGAUUACGGAAUGGUCGAAGGCAGGAUGGAGCAGCGCCGCGUGAGUGAGGAAGGUCUUCGGAUCGUAAAAAUCUGUUAUUAGGGAAGAACAAAUGUGUAAGUAACUAUGCACGUCUUGACGGUACCUAAUCAGAAAGCCACGGCUAACUACGUG
Molecule: ribosomal RNA, 497 nt
Filed under: uncultured bacterium
Lineage: Bacteria
Description: partial 16S ribosomal RNA
Rfam family: Bacterial small subunit ribosomal RNA
Source: RNAcentral